RNAcentral lists this ribosomal RNA (378 nucleotides) under Petasospora sp. RNAcentral's name for it is "Cyberlindnera sp. partial small subunit ribosomal RNA". It matches the Rfam family "Eukaryotic small subunit ribosomal RNA", at positions 587 to 975 of the family's 1831-position model. Lineage: Eukaryota; Fungi; Ascomycota; Saccharomycetes; Phaffomycetales; Wickerhamomycetaceae. The record is from RNAcentral.
AGCUCCAAUAGCGUAUAUUAAAGUUGUUGCAGUUAAAAAGCUCGUAGUUGAACCUUGGGCCUGGUUGGCCGGUCUGCCUUUUUUGGCACGUACUGGAUUCAACCGGGCCUUUCCUUCUGGCUAACCUUCACAUCUGUGUUGGCAAACCAGGACUUUUACUUUGAAAAAAUUAGAGUGUUCAAAGCAGGCCUUUGCUCGAAUAUAUUAGCAUGGAAUAAUAGAAUAGGACGUUAUGGUUCUAUUUUGUUGGUUUCUAGGACCAUCGUAAUGAUUAAUAGGGACGGUCGGGGGCAUCAGUAUUCAGUUGUCAGAGGUGAAAUUCUUGGAUUUACUGAAGACUAACUACUGCGAAAGCAUUUGCCAAGGACGUUUUCAUCG